UUGUUUUUUGUCCGCCCGGCCCACUCCUCUGGCUUCUCUUUCUCCGGUCUGCUCAGCCUCGGGCUAAAACUGGCCACCGCGUAGCCUAAGCUCAUCCUCUGUUUCGGCCCCAUCCAACCGCCAAUCCGCCAUGACCCAGCUGAAGCGGCGCCCGUGCAAAUCCCCCCACCGGCUUUAGAAACUCCGGCUGCAGGAACCUCCUCUUUUCAGGAAGCAUCACGGAAGAAUCUCCGGGGCCGGCUGCUGCCUCCUUUGCAGCACCACGGAAGACCACCACCAACUCCAACUGCAAAGCGCGCGCGCCGGAUCAGUCAAUUCACCUGCAUGAUUCUCUCUCUUUCUUUCUCUCCUUUAAGCCAUUCCACCUGAAAAAGAAAAAAAAAAAAA
Sorghum bicolor (sorghum) is the source of this 387-nucleotide long non-coding RNA. RefSeq lists it as uncharacterized. The transcript is spliced from 2 exons. The record is from RefSeq and is a predicted model, not a curated record. Lineage: Eukaryota; Viridiplantae; Streptophyta; Magnoliopsida; Poales; Poaceae.